AUUGAACGCUGGCGGCAGGCCUAACACAUGCAAGUCGAGCGGCAGCGGGAAAGUAGCUUGCUACUUUUGCCGGCGAGCGGCGGACGGGUGAGUAAUGCCUAGGAAAUUGCCCAGUCGAGGGGGAUAACAGUUGGAAACGACUGCUACUACCGCAUACGCCCUACGGGGGAAAGCAGGGGACCUUCGGGCCUUGCGCGAUUGGAUAUGCCCAGGUGGGAUUAGCUAGUUGGUGAGGUAAUGGCUCACCAAGGCGACGAUCCCUAGCUGGUCUGAGAGGAUGAUCAGCCACACUGGAACUGAGACACGGUCCAGACUCCUACGGGAGGCAGCAGUGGGGAAUAUUGCACAAUGGGGGAAACCCUGAUGCAGCCAUGCCGCGUGUGUGAAGAAGGCCUUCGGGUUGUAAAGCACUUUCAGCGAGGAGGAAAGGUUGAUGCCUAAUACGUAUCAACUGUGACGUUACUCGCAGAAGAAGCACCGGCUAACUCCGUGCCAGCAGCCGCAGUAA
RNAcentral lists this ribosomal RNA (508 nucleotides) under uncultured bacterium. RNAcentral's name for it is "partial 16S ribosomal RNA". It matches the Rfam family "Bacterial small subunit ribosomal RNA", at positions 30 to 523 of the family's 1533-position model. The record is from RNAcentral.